UUUCAAAAAUACCCGUGUACGUGUGGACGUAGCCUGAAUUGCAAUUAAAAAAAACCACAACUUUAUUGCUGGCCAUGAUCAGAAACCAAACCGUGAACCACUAACUGGAACACACAGGCAAAAUCUUAGGGUACAACAUGAGACUGACACAGAAACACGGGGUUUAAAUACACUGAGGCGUAAUCAGAGAAUGGAAAACAGGAGGGAGACACAGCUGGGAGAGAUCAGGGGUAACGAGACAGAGGAAGUGAAACUAGAAACACUGACAUAAGACAUAAACCUUCAAAAUAAAACAGGAAACAAUUCACAAAGACACAAACUAAGAAACACGGACUUACGCAGAGGGAACACACGGGCAGAGAAGACUAAGCACGGAACUAAACCUAUACUAAACAUGAGGGCAUAAGAACAAAAUCUAAACCGGAAUAAGCUGGAACUUAGAAUAAUAAUAAUAAUCAACACAGGAGAGCUAAAGAAUCAGAACAUAAAUCAUAAUACAGAAGAAUACCAAAAACAUAAGAAACUGAAAAUGCUGGGUCAGAAUGACCCAGAACCGUGACACUGAUAGCAGAUGCACUAAAGAAUAGCUGGAACAGCGACAGAGGAGACCGUGCUGUUGUGGCAUUAAAUACAGGGCAAGAGUUCCUUGCUGGCAUAAACUUGAAGGGUCGGGAUUUCUGUCCUCCUCAUCCCUGUUUUUCCACACUUCUUCCACCUCAGAACACCCACUUUGCCGACAGUUGAAAGACUGUCGUAAAUAGCACCACUAAAUGAACAGUGGGAUGUGGUCAGUUUCAUUGUCAUUAUUGAUUCAGUAACGUCAUUAUGCAAACAUGAGUGCUUUAAUUUUAUAACAAAAACCUAUGUUUUUGGUAGGACACACAGCGGGGAAUGAAGGAGGACGCGACAAUGAGCAGAGGAAGAGACCGAUACUAAAUACAAGAGGAGAACAGGGCAAAGAGGAAACGCCUAGGAAACAGACGAGACGGGGAAAGAAAAAACAUGAAAACAUAACUGAGUGGCAGCGUAACAAAACUAAGAACUACACAUCAGAAAUACUAAAUAUAUAGGGGAGCUUGAAAUACUAAAACUAAAUAAUAGAAACACUAAAUCAAAGAAUAUAGAUAAAUCAAAACCAUAACCACAGGGACCCAGGCAGCGGUGUCACAAUUUCUAAAUCGCUAUUUUCUGGGACUGGAAUGGUGAGGUCCUCAUCAUCUGAAGAUGACUCUUCCACACAAAGCUGUGUCCCACUAUCAAGGCAGGGACAACAAAAAUUCAAGCACUAUAAAGGCUUCAGAGUCUGGACUCAGAUCUGCAGCAACACGUUUUUUUCUUCUUUUAUUUUUACGUACACCACUUCUUUGAGGUAACACCAGCCAAGAAAAAGACUGGGCCAAAGGAAUAAAUAAAA
This is a long non-coding RNA of Oreochromis aureus, 1414 nucleotides long. RefSeq lists it as uncharacterized. Lineage: Eukaryota; Metazoa; Chordata; Actinopteri; Cichliformes; Cichlidae. The record is from RefSeq and is a predicted model, not a curated record. The transcript has 3 exons.